Molecule: ribosomal RNA, 497 nt
Filed under: uncultured bacterium
Lineage: Bacteria
Description: partial 16S ribosomal RNA
Rfam family: Bacterial small subunit ribosomal RNA
Source: RNAcentral
GAUGAACGCUGGCGGCGUGCCUAAUACAUGCAAGUCGAGCGAACGGACGAGAAGCUUGCUUUUCUGAUGUUAGCGGCGGACGGGUGAGUAACACGUGGAUAACCUACCUAUAAGACUGGGAUAACUUCGGGAAACCGGAGCUAAUACCGGAUAAUAUUUUGAACCGCAUGGUUCAUAAGUGAAAGACGGUCUUGCUGUCACUUAUAGAUGGAUCCGCGCUGCAUUAGCUAGUUGGUAAGGUAACGGCUUACCAAGGCAACGAUGCAUAGCCGACCUGAGAGGGUGAUCGGCCACACUGGAACUGAGACACGGUCCAGACUCCUACGGGAGGCAGCAGUAGGGAAUCUUCCGCAAUGGGCGAAAGCCUGACGGAGCAACGCCGCGUGAGUGAUGAAGGUCUUCGGAUCGUAAAACUCUGUUAUUAGGGAAGAACAUAUGUGUAAGUAACUGUGCACAUCUUGACGGUACCUAAUCAGUAAGCCACGGCUAACUACGUG